AACUUUCUGAAUCCGUGUCGAGAUUUCGGUAAAUACCAACCCACCAGGACUGGUGAAACUUUUAAACUAAGUGAAGUA
This 78-nucleotide microRNA precursor is filed under the name Schistosoma mansoni. Its description in RNAcentral is "mir-3492 microRNA precursor family". It matches the Rfam family "mir-3492 microRNA precursor family". Lineage: Eukaryota; Metazoa; Platyhelminthes; Trematoda; Strigeidida; Schistosomatidae. The record is from Rfam by way of RNAcentral.